This 27-nucleotide non-coding RNA is filed under the name Bombyx mori (domestic silkworm). The record is from RNAcentral. Lineage: Eukaryota; Metazoa; Arthropoda; Insecta; Lepidoptera; Bombycidae.
AAGUUUUUACUGUGUGACAAUACUUAU